RNAcentral lists this ribosomal RNA (242 nucleotides) under uncultured bacterium. Its description in RNAcentral is "partial 16S ribosomal RNA". It matches the Rfam family "Bacterial small subunit ribosomal RNA", at positions 791 to 1035 of the family's 1533-position model. The record is from RNAcentral.
UAGUCCACGCCGUAAACGAUGUCGGUUAGGAGCUUGAACUUCGGUUUGGGUUCCGCAGCUAACGCGAUAAAUCGACCGCCUGGGGAGUACGGCCGCAAGGUUAAAACUCAAAUGAAUUGACGGGGGCCCGCACAAGCGGUGGAGCAUGUGGUUUAAUUCGAAGCAACGCGAAGAACCUUACCUGACCUUGACAUCGUAGGAAGUGUACAGAGAUGUACAUGUGCCUUCGGGAACCUACAGAC